This 30-nucleotide non-coding RNA is filed under the name Mus musculus (house mouse). The record is from RNAcentral. Lineage: Eukaryota; Metazoa; Chordata; Mammalia; Rodentia; Muridae.
UNCCAGGUUGAAAAGCAGAGCUGCCCUACA